AUGUACAAGAUGCCAUGCGCUCCAUUCAUAGGAAUAAAUAACCAUAAUCAGUCAUUGCAGUUCGGAUGCAGGCUUGUUCAGAACAAAGACACGGAUGGGUACGUUUGGCUGUUCAAGACCUUCUUGGAUUGCAUGGAUGGACUUGCUCCGAUGAACAUAAUAACAGACCAGGAUUUUAGCAUGCAUGCAGGAAUAGAGGAGGUCUUUCCGUUCGCAGUGCACAUGCACUGCAGGUGGCACAUUAUAAAGAAGGCUGAGGAGACGCUAGGAUCAUUCUUUGCUGACCGUCCAGAGCUGCACAGGGCAUUCGAGCUGUGCGUGGACCAUAGCUUGACGGUGGAGGAGUUUGAAAGGAGCUGGAUGGCCAUGAUUGAAACAUAUCAAGUCCAAGACAAUGAGACUCUUGCUAGCCUAUGGGAGAAGCGAAUGUAUUGGGUGCCGGCCUACUUCAUGUAG
RNAcentral lists this ribosomal RNA (456 nucleotides) under Triticum aestivum (bread wheat). RNAcentral describes it as "partial small subunit ribosomal RNA". The record is from RNAcentral. Lineage: Eukaryota; Viridiplantae; Streptophyta; Magnoliopsida; Poales; Poaceae.